Molecule: small nuclear RNA, 107 nt
Organism: Heterocephalus glaber (naked mole-rat)
Lineage: Eukaryota; Metazoa; Chordata; Mammalia; Rodentia; Bathyergidae
Source: Ensembl
GUGCUUGUUUUGGCAGUACAUAUACUAUAAUUGGAACGAUACAGAGAAGAUUAGCAUGGCCCCUGCACAAGGAUGACAUUCAAAUUCAUGAAGCAUUCCAUAUUUUU